RNAcentral lists this ribosomal RNA (468 nucleotides) under uncultured bacterium. RNAcentral's name for it is "partial 16S ribosomal RNA". It matches the Rfam family "Bacterial small subunit ribosomal RNA", at positions 28 to 507 of the family's 1533-position model. The record is from RNAcentral.
GACGAACGCUGGCGGCGUGCUUAACACAUGCAAGUCGAACGGAAAGGCCCUGCUUUUGUGGGGUGCUCGAGUGGCGAACGGGUGAGUAACACGUGAGUAACCUGCCCUUCACUUUGGGAUAACUUCAUGAAACUGGGGCUCAUACCGGCUAGGAGCUCCUGCUUCAUGGUGGGGGUUGGAAAGUUUCGGCGGUUGGGGAUGGACUCGCGGCUUAUCAGCUUGAUGGUGGGGUAGUGUCUUACCAAGGCUUUGAACGGUAGCCGGCCUGCGAGGGUGACCGGCCACAUUGGGACUGAGAUACGGCCCAGACUCCUACGGGAGGCAGCAGUGGAGAAUAGUGCACAAUGGGCGGAAGCCUGAUGCAGCAACGCCGCGUGCGGGAUGACGGCCUUCGGGUUGUAAACCGCUUUCGCCUGUGACGAAGCGUGAGUGACGGUAAUGGGUAAAGAAGCACCGGCUAACUACGUG